This 136-nucleotide ribosomal RNA is filed under the name Aotus nancymaae (Ma's night monkey). Lineage: Eukaryota; Metazoa; Chordata; Mammalia; Primates; Aotidae. The record is from RNAcentral.
AUCUAUGACUAUACCACCCUGAAGGUGCCUGAUCUCAUCUGAUCUUAGAAGCUAAGCAGGGUCAGGCCUGGUUAGUACUUGGAUGGGAGAAAAGCGAUGCCCCAAGGAUCCUGUGACACACAGGUAGCUGUGUAUC